Molecule: unclassified non-coding RNA, 335 nt
Filed under: uncultured Ascomycota
Lineage: Eukaryota; Fungi; Ascomycota
Description: sequence contains ITS1
Rfam family: 5.8S ribosomal RNA (bases 1-105)
Source: RNAcentral
GAAAUGCGAUAAGUAGUAUGAAUUGCAGAAUUCAGUGAAUCAUCGAAUCUUUGAACGCACAUUGCGCCCGCCAGUAUUCUGGCGGGCAUGCCCAUCCGAGCGUCAUCGCAGAACCCCUCGAGCGCCCGCUGGAAUUCUCCAGCGGGCGCUCGGUGCUGGGGCGCGCGUGAACCCGCCCUGGCGGCGGGCUCGCGGCCCCUAAACUCAGCGGCGACCUCCCUAGGACGUCCCCCUGCGUAGUAAGCCCACUGGACACUUCGCACCGGGCCCCGAGGAGUAGCCUGACCUCAAGACCAAGAGACCUCGGAUUGGGUAGGGAUACCCGCUGAACUUAA